This 3048-nucleotide long non-coding RNA is filed under the name Homo sapiens (human). Its description in RNAcentral is "HSALNT0367523". The record is from RNAcentral. Lineage: Eukaryota; Metazoa; Chordata; Mammalia; Primates; Hominidae.
CGGGGAGGCACCCACCGCGAGGGGGAGACUGAGAGCCAGUCCCUCCCACCCCCGGCUCUUAGGACUCGCAUCGCAAGCGGGGGAGGCACGCCACGCGAGGCGGGGACUGAGAGCCAGCCCCCCUUCCCCCCGGGCUUAGGACCCCCCUGGAGGACUGUGGGUAUGGGGUGUCCAAGAAGAAAGCUCAGAUCUGCCCACGGCAGGUACCUUACUUGGGAUUUACAAUCGACAGGGGUCCGAACGCAGCCCGGGAAAAGAAAGAAAGCAGGACCCCCAUCGCAGGAGUCGGAGGCACCCCCCGCGAGGCGGGGACUGAGAGAGAGCUCCUCUUCCCCCCCAGGAUCUUAGGACCCCCAUCGCGGGGGGGGAGGCACUCCCGCCAGGAUCCCCAUCGCAAGGGGGGAAGACACCGCCCACGAGUCGGGGACUGAGAGCCAGCCCCUCUUCCCCCGCUGGCUUAGGACCCCCACCGCGGAUUCUAAGAUCCUUAGCACCCACCUGGAGGACUGGGGGUUUUAGGUGUCCAAGAAGAAAGCUCAGACCUGCCGACCGCAGGACCUCCAUCGCAGCGGGGCAGGCACACACCGCGAGGCGGGAACUGAGAGCCAGCCCCUCCCACCUCUGGCUCUUAGGACUCACAUUGCAAGUGGGGGAGGCAUCCUCCGCGAGGCGCGGACUGAGAGCCAGCCCCUCUUCCCCCCCUGGCUCUAGGGACCCCCAUCGCAGGGGGUGGAGGCACCCCACGCGAUUCGGGGACUGAGAGCCAGCCCCUCUCCUUCCCCCUGCUCUUCGGACCCCCAUCGCAGGGCGGGGAGGCACCCACCGCGAGGCGGGGACUGAGAGCCAGCCCCUCUACCCCCCGUGGCUCUUAGGAGCCCCAUCGCAGGGUGGGAGGCCACCCGGCGAGGCGAGGAUUGAGAGCCAGCCCGUCUUCCCCCCUUGGCUCUUAGGAGCCCCAUCGCGGGUGGGGAAGGCACCCCCCGCGAGGCAGGGACUGAGAGCCAGCCUCUCUUCCUCCCGUGGCUCUUAGGACCCCCAUCGCAGUGGGGGGAGGCACCCCCCGCGAGGCGGGGACUGAGAGCAAGCCCAUUUCCCCCCCCCCCGGCUCUUAGGACACCCAACGCAGAGGGGGGAGGCACCCCCUGCGAGGCAGGAACUGAGAGCCAGACCCACUUCUCCCCGGCUCUUGGGAUCCCCAUCGCGGGGAGGGGAGGCACCCCACACGAGGCGGGGACUGAGAGCCAGCCCCUCUUCCCCCCCUGGCUAUUAGGACCCCCAUCGCAGGGGGGAGAGGCACCCCCCGAGAGGCAGGGACGGAGAGCCUGCACCUCUUCCCCCACGGGCUCUUAGGACCCCCAUCGCAGGCGCUUCGCACCCCACGCGAGGCGGGUACUGAGAGCCAGCUCCUCUUUCCCCCGUCUCUUAGGACUGCCAUCGCAGAGGGGGAGGUAACCCCCGCCAGGCAGGGACUGACAGCCAGCCCCUCUUCACCUCUGGCUCUUAGGCCCCCAUCGCAGAGUGGGGAGGCACCACAUGCGAGGCGGGGACUGCGAGCCAGCCCCACUUCCCCCCUGGCUCUUGGGACCACCAUCGCAGUGGGGGGAGGUACACCCCGCGAGGCGGGGACGGAGAGUCAGCCCCUCUUCCCCCACUGGCUCUUGGGAACCCCAUCGCAAGGGGGAGAGGCACCCUCCGCGACGCGGGGACUGAGAGACAGCCCCUCUUCCCCCCCUGGCUCUAGGGACCCCCAUCGCAGGGGGUGGAGGCACCCCACGCGAUGCGGGGACUGAGAGCCAGCCCCUCUCCGCCCCCCCCGACCCCGCCCGGGUCUUCGGACCCCCAUCGCAGUGGGGGGAGGCACCCCAUGCGAGGCGGGGUCUGACAGCCAAACCCUCUUCCCCCUCUGGCUCUUAUGACCCCCAUAGCAAGGGGGGAGGCACCCCCCGCGAGGCGGGGACUAGAGCCAGCCCCUCUUCCCACCCUGGCUUAGGACCCCCAUCGCGGAUCCUAAGAUCCUUAGGACCCAACUGGAGGACUGUGGGUAUUAGGUGCCCAAGAAGAAAGCUCAGAUCUGCCGACGUUACUUGGGAUUUACUAUCCGACAGGUGUCCGAACACAGCUCGAGAUCAGAAAGAAAGCAGGGGUCCGAACGCAGCCCGGGAUCAGGAAGAAAGCAGGUCGUUUGCAAUCUACCGGAGCCUAAGGGCAGAAGGCAGGAUCGUGGGAACAAUAUCCCAGGGGGGUUUCCACUUUCUGCCAUAUAUGUAGUCACAUCGCCCACUCCGCCUUGGAAUAUUAUUAAGGACCAUCUAACACGAGGGUGUAUACGUCCUGCGAUAUUACGAGUAAUAUCAACUUCUUGGCCUCUGAAUAUGAGGAAGAAUAUCACAGGGGGUCCGAAUGCAGCCCGGGAUCACAAAGAAAGCAGGUCGUUUGCAAUCUACCAGAGCCUAAGGGCAGAAGGCAGGAUCGUGGGAACAAUAUCCCAUGGGGGUGUACCCUUUCUGCCAUAUAUGUAGUCACAUCACCCACUCCGCCUUGGAAUAUUAUUAAGGACCAUCUAACACGAGGGUGUAUACGUCCUGUGAUAUUGGGAGUAAUAUCAACUUCUCGGCCUCUGAAUAUGAGGAAGAAUAUCACAGGGAUAUUAAUAACAAUUUCACAGGCUGGGUGAACACAGCCGGCGAUGCUGAAAUUAUUAUCAUCCUCUCCCCCUCUUCCCCUCCUGGCUCUCAGUCCCCGCCUCACGGGUUAUGUAGCGGGUUAUGGCAAGAAGACAAACUGCAGUUUCCUGCACAGAACAGCACAAACAAUGAUCCAAGCUCAGUUACAACACAAUAUUGGUCAUCAUUUGACCAUGGACUUCAAUAUCAACCCUUAGAAACCUUCCUAAAACAGGUCAGCAAAACACCAAGAAGCAAUAUCCUGAAUGAUAGGAAAAUAUCCUUGCUUGUGCAAAUUGUUUCCACUUAAUUUUUUUCAACAAAUGUUAAUUAUAUUUUUACUUUCUAAAAAUUUUUAAUAAAAUAUAGCCUACUUGGUUAAAAA